This 465-nucleotide ribosomal RNA is filed under the name uncultured bacterium. RNAcentral's name for it is "partial 16S ribosomal RNA". It matches the Rfam family "Bacterial small subunit ribosomal RNA", at positions 28 to 507 of the family's 1533-position model. The record is from RNAcentral.
GACGAACGCUGGCGGCGUGCUUAACACAUGCAAGUCGAACGGAAAGGCCCUGCUUGCCGGGUACUCGAGUGGCGAACGGGUGAGUAACACGUGGGUGAUCUGCCCUGCACUUCGGGAUAAGCCUGGGAAACUGGGUCUAAUACCGGAUAGUAGUCAUUUUUAGUGUGAUGGUUGGAAGGUUUUUUCGGUGUAGGAUGAGCUGGCGGCCUAUCAGCUUGUUGGUGGGGUAAUGGCCUACCAAGGCGGCGACGGGUAGCCGGCCUGAGAGGGUGGAAGGCCACAUUGGGACCGAGGGGCGGCCCAGGCUCCGACGGGAGGCAGAAGGGGGGAAGCUUGCACAAUGGGCGCAGGCCGGAUGCAGAAGGGCCGCGGGGGGGAUGACGGCCUUAGGGUUGAAGAAGCCUUGCGCUAGGGACGAAGCUUGUUGUGACGGUACCUAGAGAAGAAGCACCGGCUAACUACGUG